This 495-nucleotide ribosomal RNA is filed under the name uncultured bacterium. Its description in RNAcentral is "partial 16S ribosomal RNA". It matches the Rfam family "Bacterial small subunit ribosomal RNA", at positions 28 to 507 of the family's 1533-position model. The record is from RNAcentral.
GACGAACGCUGGCGGCGUGCCUAAUACAUGCAAGUAGAACGCUGAAGGAGGAGCUUGCUUCUCUGGAUGAGUUGCGAACGGGUGAGUAACGCGUAGGUAACCUGCCUGGUAGCGGGGGAUAACUAUUGGAAACGAUAGCUAAUACCGCAUAAGAGUAGAUGUCGCAUGACAUUUGCUUAAAAGGUGCAAUUGCAUCACUACCAGAUGGACCUGCGUUGUAUUAGCUAGUUGGUGAGGUAACGGCUCGCCAAGGCAACGAUACAUAGCCGACCUGAGAGGGUGAUCGGCCACACUGGGACUGAGACACGGCCCAGACUCCUACGGGAGGCAGCAGUAGGGAAUCUUCGGCAAUGGACGGAAGUCUGACCGAGCAACGCCGCGUGAGUGAAGAAGGUUUUCGGAUCGUAAAGCUCUGUUGUAAGAGAAGAACGAGUGUGAGAGUGGAAAGUUCACACUGUGACGGUAUCUUACCAGAAAGGGACGGCUAACUACGUG